GCGCUCAGUGCUAGAGCAGCUUCUUGGGAUGCAGAAGGUCCCAGGUUCAAUCCUUGGCAUCACCA
RNAcentral lists this transfer RNA (65 nucleotides) under Sphaerodactylus townsendi. RNAcentral describes it as "tRNA-Pro". Lineage: Eukaryota; Metazoa; Chordata; Lepidosauria; Squamata; Sphaerodactylidae. The record is from RNAcentral.